GCACAAGCGGUGGAGCAUGUGGAUUAAUUCGAUGCAACGCGAAGAACCUUACCAAGGCUUGAUAUGGACUGGAAAUACCUGGAGACAGGUGCCCCGCUUGCGGUCGGUUCACAGGUGGUGCAUGGUUGUCGUCAGCUCGUGUCGUGAGAUGUUGGGUUAAGUCCCGCAACGAGCGCAACCCUCGUUCUAUGUUGCCAGCGCGUGAUGGCGGGGACUCAUAGGAGACUGCCGGGGUCAACUCGGAGGAAGGUGGGGACGACGUCAAAUCAUCAUGCCCCUUAUGUCUUGGGCUUCACGCAUGCUACAAUGGCCGGUACAAAGGGUUGCGAUACUGUGAGGUGGAGCUAAUCCCAAAAAGCCGGUCUCAGUUCGGAUUGGGGUCUGCAACUCGACCCCAUGAAGUCGGAGUCGCUAGUAAUCGCAGAUCAGCAACGCUGCGGUGAAUACGUUCCCGGGC
This 457-nucleotide ribosomal RNA is filed under the name uncultured bacterium. RNAcentral describes it as "bacterial SSU rRNA". It matches the Rfam family "Bacterial small subunit ribosomal RNA", at positions 923 to 1379 of the family's 1533-position model. The record is from RNAcentral.